RNAcentral lists this ribosomal RNA (2068 nucleotides) under metagenome. RNAcentral's name for it is "bacterial LSU rRNA". It matches the Rfam family "Bacterial large subunit ribosomal RNA", at positions 829 to 2925 of the family's 2925-position model. The record is from RNAcentral.
CCAAUCGAACCCGGAGAUAGCUGGUUCUCCUCGAAAUAGCUUUAGGGCUAGCCUCAUGGAUCAUUGGUGGGGGUAGAGCACUGAAUGUGCGCGGGGGCCACAAAGCCUACCAAACGCUAUCAAACUACGAAUACCAUACAAUGCAGACCAUGGGAGUCAGUCCGCGAGAGAUAAGUUCCGCGGGCAAAAGGGGAACACCCCAGAUCAACCGCUAAGGUCCCCAAGUUCACGUUAAGUGGAGAAGGAUGUGGAAUUGCACAGACAACCAGGAUGUUGGCUCAGAAGCAGCCACACAUUUAAAGAGUGCGUAAUAGCUCACUGGUCGAGUGAUUGUGCGCCGAAGAUGUCCGGGGCUAAACGUGACACCGAAGCGAUGGGUGCGUCUGAAGAAGAUGCGCGGUAGAGGAGCAAUGUGCAGAGGCAGAAGCCGUAUCGAGAGGCACGGUGGACACUGCACAAGAGAGAAUGCCGGUAUGAGUAGCGAGAGGCAUGCGAGAAACAUGCCCGUCGAAAGCCCAAGGUUUCCUGGGGAAGGUUCAUCCGCCCAGGGUAAGUCGGGGCCUAAGCCGAGGACGGAAGUCGUAGGCGAUGGACAGCAGGUGUAGAUUCCUGCACUACCGAUGGAAUGAAGCAGUGACACAGAAGGAUAACUCGAGCAGGGUGAUGGUCAACCCUGUGCAAGCAUCAAGGUUGGGUUGUAGUGAAGUACGCAAUCCUAUAAGCUGAGGUGUGAUGCGGACCGAAAUUUUAGUAGGGAAGCGAGUGAGUUCACGCUGGCGAGAAAAGCUGCUAGUAUAUCCAAAGGUACCCGUACCGGAAACCGACGCAGGUGGGCGAGGAGAGAAUCCUGAGACGAACGGGAGAACCCUUGUUAAGGAACUCGGCAAAAUGACCCCGUAACUUCGGGAUAAGGGGUGCCUGCGAGAGCAGGCCGCAGAGAAUAGUCACAAGCGACUGUUUAGCAAAAACACAGGUAUCUGCGAAAGCGAGAGCUGACGUAUAGGUGCUGACACCUGCCCGGUGCUGGAAGGUUAAGGGAACAUGUUAGAGCAAUCGAAGCAUCGAACCGAAGCCCCAGUAAACGGCGGCCGUAACUAUAACGGUCCUAAGGUAGCGAAAUUCCUUGUCGGGUAAGUUCCGACCCGCACGAAUGGUGUAACGACUUGUGAGCUGUCUCAACAGGGGGCCCGGUGAAAUUGAAGUAUGGGUGAAGAUGCCCAUUACCCGCGACUGGACGGAAAGACCCCGUAGAGCUUUACUGCAGCCUGAUAUUGAGUUUCGGUAACUGAUGCACAGGAUAGGUGGGAGUCUGAGAGACAUGGGUUUCGGCUCGUGUGGAGACGCUGUUGGGAUACCACUCUUCGGUUACUGAAAUUCUAACAUAGCUCUGUGAAACCAGAGGAUGGACAGUGUCAGGUGGACAGUUUGACUGGGGCGGUCGCCUCCGAAAGAGUAACGGAGGCGCCCAAAGGUACCCUCAGAAUGGAUGGAAACCAUUCGAAGAGCGCAAAGGCAGAAGGGUGCCUGACUGCGAGAUUGACAAAUCGAGCAGAGACGAAAGUCGGGCUUAGUGAUCCGGCGGUAUUGAGUGGAAAAGCCGUCGCUUAACGGAUAAAAGCUACCUCGGGGAUAACAGGCUGAUCUCCCCCAAGAGUCCACAUCGACGGGGAGGUUUGGCACCUCGAUGUCGGCUCGUCGCAUCCUGGGGCUGAAGCAGGUCCCAAGGGUUUGGCUGUUCGCCAAUUAAAGCGGCACGCGAGCUGGGUUCAGAACGUCGUGAGACAGUUCGGUCCCUAUCCAUCGUGGGCGUAGGAGUCAUGAGAGGAGCUGUUCCUAGUACGAGAGGACCGGAAUGGACGCACCACUGGUGCAACUGUUGUCGUGCCAACGGCAUAGCAGGGAAGCGAAGUGCGGAUGGGAUAAACGCUGAAGGCAUCUAAGCGUGAAGCCCACCUCAAGAAUAAGACUCCACAAUAGACCCCUGGAGGACUACCAGGUAGAUAGGUCAUCGGUGGAAGCGCUGUAAGGCGUGCAGCUUGAUGAUACUAAUCGGUCGAAAGCUUCAUUU